Molecule: ribosomal RNA, 486 nt
Filed under: uncultured bacterium
Lineage: Bacteria
Description: partial 16S ribosomal RNA
Rfam family: Bacterial small subunit ribosomal RNA
Source: RNAcentral
AUUGAACGCUGGCGGCAUGCCUUACACAUGCAAGUCGAACGGCAGCACGGGUGCCUGCACCUGGUGGCGAGUGGCGAACGGGUGAGUAAUACAUCGGAACAUGUCCUGUAGUGGGGGAUAGCCCGGCGAAAGCCGGAUUAAUACCGCAUACGAUCUACGGAUGAAAGCGGGGGACCUUCGGGCCUCGCGCUAUAGGGUUGGCCGAUGGCUGAUUAGCUAGUUGGUGGGGUAAAGGCCUACCAAGGCGACGAUCAGUAGCUGGUCUGAGAGGACGACCAGCCACACUGGGACUGAGACACGGCCCAGACUCCUACGGGAGGCAGCAGUGGGGAAUUUUGGACAAUGGGCGAAAGCCUGAUCCAGCAAUGCCGCGUGUGUGAAGAAGGCCUUCGGGUUGUAAAGCACUUUUGUCCGGAAAGAAAUCCUUGGCCCUAAUACGGUCGGGGGAUGACGGUACCGGAAGAAUAAGCACCGGCUAACUACGUG